Molecule: transfer RNA, 117 nt
Filed under: archaeon
Lineage: Archaea
Description: tRNA-Ala
Rfam family: tRNA
About the family: Transfer RNA (tRNA) molecules are approximately 80 nucleotides in length. Their secondary structure includes four short double-helical elements and three loops (D, anti-codon, and T loops).
Source: RNAcentral
GGGCCGGUAGAUCAACGGAAGACCGACGCUCACGAGCAAAGCGAGUGUGCGUCUCCGUGUUAGAUCGCUACCCUUGCAAGGUAGAGGUUGUGGGUUCAAGUCCCACCCGGUCCACCA